UUCGACCUGAACUCAGACGUGGAC
RNAcentral lists this ribosomal RNA (24 nucleotides) under Rotylenchulus macrosomoides. RNAcentral describes it as "partial 28S ribosomal RNA". Lineage: Eukaryota; Metazoa; Nematoda; Chromadorea; Rhabditida; Hoplolaimidae. The record is from RNAcentral.